GACGAACGCUGGCGGCGUGCUUAACACAUGCAAGUCGAACGGAAAGGCCCUGCUUUUGUGGGGUGCUCGAGUGGCGAACGGGUGAGUAACACGUGAGUAACCUGCCCUUGACUUUGGGAUAACUUCAGGAAACUGGGGCUAAUACCGGAUAGGAGCUCCUGCUGCAUGGUGGGGGUUGGAAAGUUUCGGCGGUUGGGGAUGGACUCGCGGCUUAUCAGCUUGUUGGUGGGGUAGUGGCUUACCAAGGCUUUGACGGGUAGCCGGCCUGAGAGGGUGACCGGCCACAUUGGGACUGAGAUACGGCCCAGACUCCUACGGGAGGCAGCAGUGGGGAAUAUUGCACAAUGGGCGGAAGCCUGAUGCAGCAACGCCGCGUGCGGGAUGACGGCCUUCGGGUUGUAAACCGCUUUCGCCUGUGACGAAGCGUGAGUGACGGUAAUGGGUAAAGAAGCACCGGCUAACUACGUGCCAGCAGCCGCGGUGAUACGUAGGGUGCGAGCGUUGUCCGGAUUUAUUGGGCGUAAAGGGCUCGUAGGUGGUUGAUCGCGUCGGAAGUGUAAUCUUGGGGCUUAACCCUGAGCGUGCUUUCGAUACGGGUUGACUUGAGGAAGGUAGGGGAGAAUGGAAUUCCUGGUGGAGCGGUGGAAUGCGCAGAUAUCAGGAGGAACACCAGUGGCGAAGGCGGUUCUCUGGGCCUUUCCUGACGCUGAGGAGCGAAAGCGUGGGGAGCGAACAGGCUUAGAUACCCUGGUAGUCCACGCUGUAAACGGUGGGUACUAGGUGUGGGGUCCAUUCCACGGGUUCCGUGCCGUAGCUAACGCUUUAAGUACCCCGCCUGGGGAGUACGGCCGCAAGGCUAAAGCUCAAAGGAAUUGACGGGGCCCCGCACAAGCGGCGGAGCAUGCGGAUUAAUUCGAUGCAACGCGUAGAACCUUACCUGGGUUUGACAUGGAUCGGGAGUGCUCAGAGAUGGGUGUGCCUCUUUUGGGGUCGGUUCACAGGUGGUGCAUGGCUGUCGUCAGCUCGUGUCGUGAGAUGUUGGGUUAAGUCCCGCAACGAGCGCAACCCUUGUUCACUGUUGCCAGCACGUUAUGGUGGGGACUCAGUGGAGACCGCCGGGGUCAACUCGGAGGAAGGUGGGGAUGACGUCAAGUCAUCAUGCCCCUUAUGUCCAGGGCUUCACGCAUGCUACAAUGGCUGGUACAGAGAGUGGCGAGCCUGUGAGGGUGAGCGAAUCUCGGAAAGCCGGUCUCAGUUCGGAUUGGGGUCUGCAACUCGACCUCAUGAAGUCGGAGUCGCUGGUAAUCGCAGAUCAGCAACGCUGCGGUGAAUACGUUCCCGGG
Molecule: ribosomal RNA, 1343 nt
Filed under: uncultured bacterium
Lineage: Bacteria
Description: 16S ribosomal RNA
Rfam family: Bacterial small subunit ribosomal RNA
Source: RNAcentral